GCCAGGUGUGGUGGCGUGCACCUGUAAUCCCAGCUACUUGGGAAGCUGAGGCGGGAGAAUCGCUUGAACCUGGGAGGCAGAGGUUGCAGUGAGCUGAGAUUGUGCCAUUGCACUCUAGCCUAGGUGAUAGAGUGAGACUCCGUCUCAC
Molecule: non-coding RNA, 148 nt
Filed under: Nomascus leucogenys (northern white-cheeked gibbon)
Lineage: Eukaryota; Metazoa; Chordata; Mammalia; Primates; Hylobatidae
Source: Rfam by way of RNAcentral